RNAcentral lists this ribosomal RNA (460 nucleotides) under uncultured bacterium. Its description in RNAcentral is "partial 16S ribosomal RNA". It matches the Rfam family "Bacterial small subunit ribosomal RNA", at positions 338 to 795 of the family's 1533-position model. The record is from RNAcentral.
CCUACGGGAGGCAGCAGUGAGGAAUAUUGGUCAAUGGACGAGAGUCUGAACCAGCCAAGUAGCGUGAAGGAUGACUGCCCUAUGGGUUGUAAACUUCUUUUAUAUGGGAAUAAAAUGUUCCACGUGUGGGAUUUUGUAUGUACCAUAUGAAUAAGGAUCGGCUAACUCCGUGCCAGCAGCCGCGGUAAUACGGAGGAUCCGAGCGUUAUCCGGAUUGAUUGGGGUUAAAGGGAGCGUAGGUGGAUUGUUAAGUCAGUUGUGAAAGUUUGCGGCUCAACCGUAAAAUUGCAGUUGAAACUGGCAGUCUUGAGUACAGUAGAGGUUGGCGGAAUUCGUGGUGUAGCGGUGAAAUGCUUAGAUAUCACGAAGAACUCCGAUUGCGAAGGCAGCUCACUGGACUGCAACUGACACUGAGGCUCGAAAGUGUGGGUAUCAAACAGGAUUAGAUACCCUUGUAGUC